Patella vulgata (common limpet) is the source of this 317-nucleotide long non-coding RNA. RefSeq lists it as uncharacterized. NCBI's taxonomy places the organism in Eukaryota, Metazoa, Mollusca, Gastropoda, Patellidae. The transcript has 3 exons. The record is from RefSeq and is a predicted model, not a curated record.
UUACAGGUAUAUGAAACAGGCUCUUGCAAGAUCCAGAUCAAAGGGAAUAUUUACAUAGAUUAAGGGCAAUAUGCGUUACUUGCUAGUGUUAGCACUUUUGAUGGUUAUCAACAAAGAGUCCAUCACCGAUGCAGAAUGCACCGAAGAUACUGUAACCGUGACCUGUUCUCCCCUGAAAGAUAUCAGUAGUUCCGGGCUCACGCUUGCCGAAGCAUGCAGAAUAAUGGAUACGUUCAAGACAUGCCUACGAAAUAAUGGAUGUGACGAAAAAUUUAUCAAAGUUGGGGAGCAGGCAUUUGAAGAAAAAGUCGGUGCAU